GACGAACCGUGCGAACGUUGUUCGGAUUCACUGGGCUUAAAGGGCGCGUAGGCGGACUCGCAAGUCGGUUGUGAAAUCUCUGGGCUUAACCCAGAAAGGUCAACCGAUACUGCGGGGCUAGAGUGCAGAAGGGGCAACUGGAAUUCUCGGUGUAGCGGUGAAAUGCGUAGAUAUCGAGAGGAACACCUGCGGCGAAGGCGGGUUGCUGGGCUGACACUGACGCUGAAGCGCGAAAGCUAGGGGAGCGAACGGG
RNAcentral lists this ribosomal RNA (253 nucleotides) under uncultured bacterium. Its description in RNAcentral is "partial 16S ribosomal RNA". It matches the Rfam family "Bacterial small subunit ribosomal RNA", at positions 524 to 776 of the family's 1533-position model. The record is from RNAcentral.